UUACCCCUUCACAAUUGCUCCUUUUCGGCGAUCUUUCAGGGUGGAUUGUCGAAGACGUCGUAGCCGGCCUAAUUGGAAUCUGGGUCGUCGCCUCUGCCAGUGACAUACGUCCUUUCCAUGGUUUUAAAUUUAAUGAUGAUGCCCGUCAUUUCUUUUUUCAAUGCGUCAUUUUGCUUUUGACACAUUAAUUGAGGGGUUGUCCCUUGCCCUUUGCCACUUUGCUCAUCGUCUUCUUAGAACCCUAUAUGUGUUCCUUUCUGUCCUUCGCCUGAAGUUCCAGUUUGUAAUCCUUAUCGGUGAAGCGUCAACAUGUUCAGAUGCUUCCUGAUUUUGGCAAAGGUGUCAACGAUAUGUUUGUUAUAGUAGAGGGAAACUGGGAAUUCCUUCAUGGUGUUGAUUGGAUCGAACCUAUUCCUAAGGUCACUGGCCGAACAGAGUGGGAAGACCAAGUGAACCUCUCUCUUUUGUAACAAGCAUGGUCGUAUAGAAAGCCACUAGUGCAACAAGGUCAAGGUCGAGCGGCUCACGUGCUCCUUUCCUACGUCCCCUACUAUGGUACCGUGAUCGUAACAGAUGGUAUAGACCUUGGUGCCGACGGUUGCUUUGAUUUUUACAUCCUUCAUCAUCUUCAGGAGAAUAUCGAGGAAGUAGCACCUAAAGAAGAAGAACCUCAAGAAGAAUCAUCUAGUUUGGAGGCAACGAUUUCAGACAUCAUGCCCGUAAAGAAUUUCUUAGAGAUUGCUGCUGCUAGAAAGCGUCAAAGAGAUGGUGAGUCAGCCCCAACUUUCCAGGUUACUUCUGAUGCCUCUGAUCGGUCCCAACGAUGGCCGAUCAUGGUGGUAGAUGAUUACCCUCCCUCCCUUGUCGUGGAUGCUACUGAGUGCACUUCUUCCCAACCUUUGGUAUAGAGAUCAAGUAAGCAUCCCACCAACCAACAAAUAUAGGUCCGGAAGAAGAUCUGAUCAGAUUCUUCUUUUCCUGUUGCUGCUUCGUCUCCAGUUUUUGCCUUAGAGACAGCAGCUGUUGGCUCCCUUAUCAUCUUUAUGCCUGCCCUAAAGGAUCGACAGAUGACCAAUGUCGAUACAACUAUGGGCAAUGCUGAAGUGGCCUCUGCAAUUACCCGAAACUCCAUUCUCCUUACGGAUGCCGCUCAGUUGGCUGAAUAGUCAGAUGUAGCUAUCUUCUCGCAGGCCUUGCACUUUUCUUUAGUGGUCUGUUCUCUUCUUAUGAGGCCAUGGUUCGCCAUGACAAAAUAAACAGGGUUAUUGACAAGCUAAAGACCUUAAGUGACAGGCAAAAUGAGAGGGUGAAGGAGUUGGAACUUCGAUUGGCUGCUUCGGAGGUUAUGGUGGCGGAGGCUGAGAAAAAGCUUCAGACGAUGGACUUUGUGCUAAAGUUUUUGGUGUAGGAGAUCAGUGGUUUGAAGGAAGAGAAGAAGCAACUCUCUACUGCCAUUUUUGCCUCAAAGGCAAGUCUUUCAGAUGUGGUCAAGGCUACCAAGGAUGAGGGAUGCAAUGAAGCUACUACCAUUUACGACUAGCACUUCGCCAAAUUAGAAAAUAUGCUGUUUGAAGACAGAUGGACGUCUACACUUCAAGCUACUAAUGUUCCAGUGGAGUCUGAACUGAGGAAGAACAUCCCUUAUCUGCGUCUAGAUGCUUUGGAAAAGCCAAGUAGAGAGAUUGCCGAAGGGGCUGGGGCAAAGUAAUGAAGAGUCAUAAAGAGUUCGUCAAGUUUUCUGCUUUUUAUUAUUGUUAUUAUAUUUUUUUUAUACUUGUUCGAGUUUUUUUUUUUUCUUAAGAUUUUUUGGAUUAACUUUUUAGUUUGUUUUAUGAACGAUUUUUGAUUGUAUGAAUGUAGUUUGAAAUUACGUCUUUGUUAGCACCAUUCU
Molecule: long non-coding RNA, 1891 nt
Organism: Camellia sinensis
Lineage: Eukaryota; Viridiplantae; Streptophyta; Magnoliopsida; Ericales; Theaceae
Source: RefSeq, a predicted model, not a curated record